RNAcentral lists this ribosomal RNA (467 nucleotides) under uncultured bacterium. RNAcentral describes it as "bacterial SSU rRNA". It matches the Rfam family "Bacterial small subunit ribosomal RNA", at positions 28 to 507 of the family's 1533-position model. The record is from RNAcentral.
GACGAACGCUGGCGGCGCGCCUAACACAUGCAAGUCGAACGAGCAAAGAGGAGCUUGCUUCUCUGAGCGAGUGGCGAACGGGUGAGUAACGCGUGAGGAACCUGCCUCAAAGAGGGGGACAACAGUUGGAACGACUGCUAAUACCGCAUAAGCCCACAGGUCGGCAUCGACCAGAGGGAAAGGAGCAAUCCGCUUUGAGAUGGCCUCGCGUCCGAUUAGCUGGUUGGUGAGGUAACGGCCCACCAAGGCGACGAUCGGUAGCCGGACUGAGAGGUUGAACGGCCACAUUGGGACUGAGACACGGCCCAGACUCCUACGGGAGGCAGCAGUGGGGAAUAUUGCACAAUGGGGGGAAACCCUGAUGCAGCAACGCCGCGUGAGUGAAGAAGUAUUUCGGUAUGUAAAGCUCUAUCAGCAGGAAAGAAAAUGACGGGUACCUGACUAAGAAGCCCCCGGCUAACUACGUG